Molecule: long non-coding RNA, 523 nt
Organism: Culex quinquefasciatus (southern house mosquito)
Lineage: Eukaryota; Metazoa; Arthropoda; Insecta; Diptera; Culicidae
Exons: 4
Source: RefSeq, a predicted model, not a curated record
UGUUUAUGCUCAUCAUCACAUCAACAUACCGGACCGACAUCAACCAUGCCAGCAUCAAACUAAUUUCCCGUUGGGGAAAUCAAGUCGAGCAGCCACCCUGGCGACGCCCCGGUACUCACUCUCCAAUCUCUUAUCGGCCGACGCCAACUAGAGCCGUGAGUGAUAAAGCGAGGCGCGAUCGGUCAGGCAAUAUAGCCGAUCGUCGCCCGCGGAUCAUCAUCAGUCACUGGUUUAUCGUAAAGGAGACCGCGUCGAUCGUCAACCCGAUAUAUUUUCCGCCAGACGAUCGACCUGAAGAAGAAGUUUAGUUCGAGGAAUUUCUGUGGUGAAAACCGUCUCACCAGUGAGGAAGAACAAGGCGUGGAAUAAUAACCGCACUGGAGUGCGAGGUGCCGCGACACCGUAAAUUGGUCGUGGUGGAGAGUGAGGUGGCGUCUACGAUCAGCAUGGAAAGCAUGGCCAUGCUGGAGUAGAUAGGAGUACUUGAGAUCGGCCUUCAUUUCCUGUUUCACAAGCUGAAUUC